Molecule: ribosomal RNA, 490 nt
Filed under: uncultured bacterium
Lineage: Bacteria
Description: partial 16S ribosomal RNA
Rfam family: Bacterial small subunit ribosomal RNA
Source: RNAcentral
AUUGAACGCUGGCGGCAGGCCUAACACAUGCAAGUCGAAUGGUAACAGGAAACAGCUUGCUGUUUCGCUGACGAGUGGCGGACGGGUGAGUAAUGUCUGGGAAACUGCCUGAUGGAGGGGGAUAACUACUGGAAACGGUAGCUAAUACCGCAUAACGUCGCAAGACCAAAGAGGGGGACCUUCGGGCCUCUUGCCAUCAGAUGUGCCCAGAUGGGAUUAGCUAGUAGGUGGGGUAACGGCUCACCUAGGCGACGAUCCCUAGCUGGUCUGAGAGGAUGACCAGCCACACUGGAACUGAGACGCGGUCCAGACUCCUACGGGAGGCAGCAGUGGGGAAUAUUGCACAAUGGGCGCAAGCCUGAUGCAGCCAUGCCGCGUGUAUGAAGAAGGCCUUCGGGUUGUAAAGUACUUUCAGCGGGGAGGAAGGGAGUAAAGUUAAUACCUUUGCUCAUUGACGUUACCCGCAGAAGAAGCACCGGCUAACUCGGUG